AGUCAUAUGCUUGUCUCAAAGAUUAAGCCAUGCAUGUCUCAGUACAAGCCAUAUUAAGGUGAAACCGCGAAAGGCUCAUUAAAUCAGUUAUGGUUCCUUAGAUCGUACCCACAUUUACUUGGAUAACUGUGGUAAUUCUAGAGCUAAUACAUGCAAACAGAGCUCCGACCGGAGACGGAAGGAGUGCUUUUAUUAGAUCAAAACCAAUCGGCGUCAAUUUGGUUUACCUUAUUGUUCGUCGCACUUUUUGGUGACUCUGAAUAACUUUUGGCUGAUCGCACGGUCUUGCACCGGCGACGCAUCUUUCAAAUGUCUGCCUUAUCAACUGUCGAUGGUAGGUUCUGCGCCUACCAUGGUUGUAACGGGUAACGGGGAAUCAGGGUUCGAUUCCGGAGAGGGAGCCUGAGAAACGGCUACCACAUCCAAGGAAGGCAGCAGGCGCGCAAAUUACCCACUCCCGGCACGGGGAGGUAGUGACGAAAAAUAACGAUACGGGACUCAUCCGAGGCCCCGUAAUCGGAAUGAGUACAGUUUAAAUCCUUUAACAAGGACCAAUUGGAGGGUAAGUCUGGUGCCAGCAGCCGCGGUAAUUCCAGCUCCAAUAGCGUAU
Molecule: ribosomal RNA, 610 nt
Filed under: Trechus humboldti
Lineage: Eukaryota; Metazoa; Arthropoda; Insecta; Coleoptera; Carabidae
Description: SSU rRNA
Rfam family: Eukaryotic small subunit ribosomal RNA
Source: RNAcentral